This 497-nucleotide ribosomal RNA is filed under the name uncultured bacterium. RNAcentral describes it as "partial 16S ribosomal RNA". It matches the Rfam family "Bacterial small subunit ribosomal RNA", at positions 28 to 507 of the family's 1533-position model. The record is from RNAcentral.
GAUGAACGCUGGCGGCGUGCCUAAUACAUGCAAGUCUAGCGAACGGACGAGAAGCUUGCUUCUCUGAUGUUAGCGGCGGACGGGUGAGUAACACGUGGAUAACCUACCUAUAAGACUGGGAUAACUUCGGGAAACCGGAGCUAAUACCGGAUAAUAUUUUGAACCGCAUGGUUCAAAAGUGAAAGACGGUCUUGCUGUCACUUAUCGAUGGAUCCGCGCUGCAUUAGCUAGUUGGUAAGGUAACGGCUUACCAAGGCAACGAUGCAUAGCCGACCUGAGAGGGUGAGCGGCCACACUGGAACUGAGACACGGUCCAGACUCCUACGGGAGGCAGCAGUAGGGAAUCUUCCGCAAUGGGCGAAAGCCUGACGGAGCAACGCCGCGUGAGUGAUGAAGGUCUUCGGAUAGUAAAACUCUGUUAUGAGGGAAGAACAUAUGUGUAAGUAACUGUGCACAUCUUGACGGUACCUAAUCAGAAAGCCACGGCUAACUACGAG